CCCUUAGAUGUCCUGGGCGGCCCGCGCGCUACAAUGUCAGCUACUGAAGGUUAAUGCUUUGAAAGAGAGCGCGCUCUCCUUUUAAUUGCUCGCAUGCUGGGAUAAAUGAAUGCAAUUUUGUUUUGAAUGAGGAAUUCCUAGUAGCCAUGUUUCACUAGAAGAUGGCGAAUGCGUCCCUGCCCUUUGUACACACCGCCCGUCGCUCCUACCGAUGAGCGUUUUGGCGAAGACGGUUUGAGUAGCUGCGUAAUUUCGUGUUGUUGACUCCGGCAGUUUGAGCCUUCACGUUUAGAGGAAGGAGAAGUCGUAACA
Molecule: ribosomal RNA, 312 nt
Filed under: uncultured eukaryote
Lineage: Eukaryota
Description: partial 18S ribosomal RNA
Rfam family: Eukaryotic small subunit ribosomal RNA
Source: RNAcentral